UACGGGGGGAGCAAGCGUUGUUCGGAUUUACUGGGCAUAAAGGGCGCGUAGGCGGCGCAACAAGUCACUUGUGAAAUCUCCGGGCUUAACCCGGAGCGGCCAAGUGAUACUGUCGUGCUAGAGUGCGGAAGGGGCUACUGGAAUUCUCGGUGUAGCGGUGAAAUGCGUAGAUAUCGAGAGGAACACCUGCGGCGAAGGCGGGUAGCUGGGCCGACACUGACGCUGAGGCGCGAAAGCCAGGGGAGCGAACGGG
Molecule: ribosomal RNA, 253 nt
Filed under: uncultured bacterium
Lineage: Bacteria
Description: partial 16S ribosomal RNA
Rfam family: Bacterial small subunit ribosomal RNA
Source: RNAcentral